RNAcentral lists this ribosomal RNA (390 nucleotides) under Pseudomonas sp. 1093. RNAcentral describes it as "bacterial SSU rRNA". It matches the Rfam family "Bacterial small subunit ribosomal RNA", at positions 1113 to 1509 of the family's 1533-position model. Lineage: Bacteria; Pseudomonadati; Pseudomonadota; Gammaproteobacteria; Pseudomonadales; Pseudomonadaceae. The record is from RNAcentral.
AGUUGCUACGAAAGGGCACUCUAAUGAGACUGCCGGUGACAAACCGGAGGAAGGUGGGGAUGACGUCAAGUCCUCAUGGCCCUUAUGGGUAGGGCUUCACACGUCAUACAAUGGUGCAUACAGAAGGCUGCCAACCCGCGAGGGGGAGCUAAUCCCAGAAAGUGCAUCGUAAUCCGGAUUGUAGUCUGCAACUCGACUACAUGAAGUUGGAAUCGCUAGUAAUCGCGGAUCAGCAUGUCGCGGUGAAUACNUUCCCGGGUCUUGUACACACCGCCCGUCACACCAUGGGAGCGGGUUUUACCAGAAGUAGGUAGCUUAACCGCAAGGAGGGCGCUUACCACGGUAGGAUUCGUGACUGGGGUGAAGUCGUAACAAGGUAGCCGUAUCGGA